This 563-nucleotide long non-coding RNA is filed under the name Mytilus galloprovincialis (Mediterranean mussel). Lineage: Eukaryota; Metazoa; Mollusca; Bivalvia; Mytilida; Mytilidae. The record is from RNAcentral.
GUUUUGCAUUAAAAAAUGAACAUAAUUCGUUGCAUUCCACAUCAAAAUUAUCUACAUAUACCGGAUAAAAUUACCUGUGAAACAUAUUGAACUGAUAAAGUGUGUAUAAUUUAUUAUUUUAAUGGAUUCUAAAACUUCCUCAGGUAAGAUGAAAGAUAUAUACAGUUGUAAUCGUCUUUACUUGUUACAAUAAUCUUGUUGACAUUUUAAACUAAAAAUGGCCCAAAGUGUUGAAUAUAUAUCAGAUCAAGUUUUGUAUAUACAGAAUGGCUUAAAUUGAAAAUAUACUACAACAUUACUGGGCGGCUAAGUAAAUUCUCAUUUCCAUAGUUCAUACUACUCGUAACGACUGUAGGACAAAGAACUAGUAAAUAUUUAUAAAUAUACACUUAUUUUUCUUCAUUCUUUUGUGGUUUUGAUCAAGUCGGUUUUUUUUAAAUUAAUUUCAGACAUGUCCACUGUCGGAGACAAUUGAGUACUGUAAUAUGACAUCAAACACGACUGACUAUAUUGAUGAUGUCCCGUCUAAAGCAAAGGAUAAAAAGCUUGAGUGUAUAAGAGGU